GUUUAAUUAAAAAAAUUAAAAAAUAAAUAAAUAAAAUAAUGUGCAUUCGCGUAAAGUUAGCCCAAAUACAUUUUUUCCUCCUACAUACCUAUCGCUAUGAAGGUAUAAAAAAGAUAGGUUAAGAGUUCACAUAGCUGGAAAACUACAUGGAGAAUUAUAGGCAAUACAAGAUAAUGAGCUCCAUCAAAUGAAUUCGAAUGAAACCAAACUGUUUACCAUCCAAAUUCGAUUGUCGGGCAGAUAGAAAACGAAAAUUCACUCAUAGUGAACCUCGGCCUGCAUUUGUGAAACGGCAAAGACUCACUAUUAUCAAGGAAAUUGAAGAGACGACUAAAAAUGAGAUGUACGACACAUCUCAUGUUCCUAAAUGUUCUUAGGAUUUUCUUAGGUGUGUAAUCCACCAACCAGCACUAGGCCAGCGUGGUGGACUAAGGCCUAAAAACCCUCUCAAUGGUAGUGAAGGCCAGUGUCCAGCAAGGGGAUAUAUUAUAUGGGCUGAUGAUGAUGACUAGGAAGUUAAAUACUACUACUACUACUACGACAGUACACAAAUAAUCCUAUAUAUUUACAAACUAUACGUUUGUUGGAAAUUGCUAACAUUAUUUCAUAUUUCCAGAUGUCCAGCCACUUGAAAAUAGGUGUAGUAAUGACAAAGCUAUCCAAGUAGCUCCAGCACAGGAACACAAAGGCAAGGCAAGUGUGUAUUGCCACAUCACCCCUUAAUAUAUCUGAAGCAAGUAUAAGUAAACAAUCAGAACCAGCAAAAAAAAAAACUGUUGUUCCUGAGGACAAAUUUGACAGUGAUGAGUCAAAUGCACCAGCAACAGAAGGAUCAACUGUUGACUAUGGGUUAUAGAAGAAGAAGAUUAAUUCAUAUUUAUUUAAAUUAAUAUUAAUGAAUAUUAAUUUAAAUUAUCGUGCAAAAUUUGUGGUCAAAACAUAUGUGUAUUUUAUAAAUAAAUAUUCAUUCUCAGUA
Bombyx mori (domestic silkworm) is the source of this 976-nucleotide long non-coding RNA. RefSeq lists it as uncharacterized. The record is from RefSeq and is a predicted model, not a curated record. The transcript is spliced from 2 exons. Lineage: Eukaryota; Metazoa; Arthropoda; Insecta; Lepidoptera; Bombycidae.